ACGCUCGACACCUACGGGGGGCAGCAGUGGGGAAUAUUGCACAAUGGAGGAAACUCUGAUGCAGCGAUGCCGCGUGAGGGAAGAAGGUUUUCGGAUUGUAAACCUCUGUCUUUGGGGACGAUAAUGACGGUACCCAAGGAGGAAGCUCCGGCUAACUACGUGCCCGCAGCCGCGGUAAUCUGAGCGGGCUGGCAAGGC
This 198-nucleotide ribosomal RNA is filed under the name uncultured bacterium. Its description in RNAcentral is "partial 16S ribosomal RNA". It matches the Rfam family "Bacterial small subunit ribosomal RNA", at positions 328 to 539 of the family's 1533-position model. The record is from RNAcentral.